This 468-nucleotide ribosomal RNA is filed under the name uncultured bacterium. RNAcentral describes it as "partial 16S ribosomal RNA". It matches the Rfam family "Bacterial small subunit ribosomal RNA", at positions 28 to 507 of the family's 1533-position model. The record is from RNAcentral.
GACGAACGCUGGCGGCGUGCUUAACACAUGCAAGUCGAACGGAAAGGCGCUGCGUUUGUGGGGUUCUCGAGUGGCGAACGGGUGAGUAACACGUGAGUAACCUGCCCUUGAAUUUGGGAUAACUUCAGGAAACUGGGGCUAAUACCGGAUAGGAGCUCUUGCUGCAUGGGGGGGGUUGGAAAGUUUCGGCGGUGGGGGAUGGACUCGCGGCUUAUGCGCUUGUUGGUGGGGUAGUGGCGUACCAAGGUUUUGACGGGUAGCCGGCCUGAGAGGGUUGCCGGCCACAUUGGGACUGAGAUACGGACCAGACUGCUACGGGAGGCAGCGGUGGGGAAUAUUGCACAGUGGGCGGAAGCCUGAUGCAGCAACGCCGCGUGCGGGAUGACGGCCUUCGGGUUGUGAACCGCUUUCGCCUGUGACGAAGCGUGAGUGACGGUAAUGGGUAAAGAAGCACCGGCUAACUACGUG